AGACUAGUUCUGUUUGUUGUCUGUUAACAGGUAGAAGCAAAACUCCUGUUUGAGUUUUCUGCUGGGGCAGGCAUCACGGUAUAAGGCAUGGGCCAGUCACUCCUACCGAUGGAUCUGUGCAGCAGACCUUUGCCAAGGAGUUAAUUACAAAGUUAAGAGUGGAUGUUUUCAGGAUGUAACAUUAGAAAAAAUGAGAGAACAUAGGCCAUCAGUGGCUCCUUCCUGCUAGUUUUGGGGGUGAAAGACAAGGGGAAGUCAGAGUGUCUGAAAUGUUGGUACGUCUGGGACUAUGCAGUUAGAAUUCCUUCCAUGCUCACAGCUGUCUCCAACUAAGAUCAAAGGACUAAGCGGGACAUUAUUCCUGUUCAGUGAAUGUGCUGUCAAAUGGUACAAUGUAAUAAUGAAAAAUGCCAGCAACUACAAAGACUUGCUAGGUACCUUUGACUGUGCUAAGCAGAGAGAUUAAAGUAUCAUAGUUCUCAUUACGUGCUUUUCAUAUGGGAGUGGUUAUAGAAGCAUAUUUUUGUUUUAGGAAGCUAAAUACUGUGAAACAAAAUCUUGUAUAAUUUAACUGUAUUUUGUUUAUUUUUAUCUCCUUGAAAAUAAUAGCAUAAUAGUAGUUUUGAUCAAGACAUUGCUCUGGCUUUGUUUUGUUUUCCUACUAAGCUAUGAUACUGCUGGGUUACUGAUGAUUUGGUUUGCUUAUGUUUUUCUUGAAUCUCUUAAGUUGGAGAUGCUCUGGUUGUGAUUUAUGUAUCUUGCAAUUGUGUAAUUUAGUGCCAAAAUAUAGUAAACUUUAACAGCGUUGCUAUCUAUGAAUUUGUAUAUGGAGCCUACAAAUUCAUGUAUGUAAUAGAAAAUGCAGAAAGUAACAUCAGACUUCUGUUUUGCAAAUCAGCAGAUCGCUGUUGGAACACACUUCCUCUGAGAUCUGCAUCAAUAAAGAAUGCAUUUUAAGAU
Long non-coding RNA from Pezoporus flaviventris, 960 nucleotides. RefSeq lists it as uncharacterized. The transcript has 2 exons. NCBI's taxonomy places the organism in Eukaryota, Metazoa, Chordata, Aves, Psittaciformes, Psittacidae. The record is from RefSeq and is a predicted model, not a curated record.